RNAcentral lists this ribosomal RNA (497 nucleotides) under uncultured bacterium. Its description in RNAcentral is "partial 16S ribosomal RNA". It matches the Rfam family "Bacterial small subunit ribosomal RNA", at positions 28 to 507 of the family's 1533-position model. The record is from RNAcentral.
GAUGAACGCUGGCGGCGUGCCUAAUACAUGCGAGUCGAGCGAACAGACGAGGAGCUUGCUCCUCUGACGUUAGCGGCGGACGGGUGAGUAACACGUGGAUAACCUACCUAUAAGACUGGGAUAACUUCGGGAAACCGGAGCUAAUACCGGAUAAUAUAUUGAACCGCAUGGUUCAAUAGUGAAAGACGGUUUUGCUGUCACUUAUAGAUGGAUCCGCGCCGCAUUAGCUAGUUGGUAAGGUAACGGCUUACCAAGGCAACGAUGCGUAGCCGACCUGAGAGGGUGAUCGGCCACACUGGAACUGAGACACGGUCCAGACUCCUACGGGAGGCAGCAGUAGGGAAUCUUCCGCAAUGGGCGAAAGCUUGACGGAGCAACGCCGCGUGAGUGAUGAAGGUCUUCGGAUCGUAAAACUCUGUUAUUAAGGAAGAACAAAUGUGUAAGUAACUAUGCACGUCUUGACGGUACCUAAUCAGAAAGCCACGGCUAACUACGUG